This 719-nucleotide long non-coding RNA is filed under the name Prunus persica (peach). Its description in RNAcentral is "long non-coding RNA (PPER_LNC004182)". The record is from RNAcentral. Lineage: Eukaryota; Viridiplantae; Streptophyta; Magnoliopsida; Rosales; Rosaceae.
GCCGAGCGGCUAUACUAUUACUGUGAUUUUUAUUUUAAAAUUGUUUUGCCUCGAUUUUUGUUUAUCGAUAAGAGUAGUUUAGAACAUUAUUCAUUAUUAGGCCAUUACCUGAGUCUCUAUUGUCUUCUUUUGAGUUUUUACUUUUCAAAAGUUAAUAUCCGUAUAAAGAAUUUAGCAUUUUCACGUUUAAUACUCGUAUUAUACAGAAAUCGUCCAUGCGUAGAUACCUCUUAUUGCCAUUGUCUUAGAAGACACCUCGUUUCUGUUAAAUGAUGUCAUUUCAAAGUCCUUACCAAACUGAGAGUUAGGGCUUCGAAACCUUAUAUGUUCUCCAUGUCGACUUUUGCUUCAAGAUUUCUAAUAUACUAUGAUGGUAAUUGUAUCAAUUAGGGAAAGUCAUCUUUUUUUUUUUUUGGUUUUUUUUUUACGUUGGGUCAAUUAAUUACCUCUUUCUUUUUCUGCAUGGGACGGAAUAAUUCGAACUCAAAACCACGUCCACGAAAGUGAAGGGUUAUAAAACGAAAUCAAUAGCAAAAUGGUUCUUUAUUUACACAAACAUCACCAUAUUAAUCCUCAAAACAGAAAACACAGACAACUAUAAUACUUUCCUUAAUGUUGGUUAACAUAAUUGGGUCUUUCUUAUAAUUAGGUAAACCAUUUUACCUUUUACAGAUGUGCCUAAUUUUUCAGAACCAAAAUAUUUAGGGCACAAGAGGAUG